ACACGUGCAGGUGGAUGAUCGAUUGAAGGAGAAAGUGAGGGUUGGAAUUACACUCUGAAAGCGGAAAUAAUAAACCAGAGUUAAUAUUUAUGGACCAAAUAGAAGAUAUUUCAUCAGAUUAUAUUCUUCAUAAAAAUGAAAAUUGCAUACAAAUUCGCAUUAACGACGGCGGUCGAGACGGUCGUAUCAUUUUAACUAAUUCGGAUGAAAUAGGUUUAAAGGAGUGGGCCUUUUCCCUCAGGUCUGCACAUAAGAUGUCUCAAGAUCUAUUAGGAUCCAUGGCUAAAAAGGCUGGAAAAAUUUAUGGAAGUGAACGAGAUGCCAACAAAUCUAUGCUUAUACUUGGAGGAAAUUGUUCAACCAAAACUUCUAAUGGCCCCAACUAAAUAUUCAUAUUAAAUCAAAAUUUAAUUUCAAAUAUCCAUUGUAAAAGUUAAAAAAAAAAUAA
This is a long non-coding RNA of Drosophila bipectinata, 448 nucleotides long. RefSeq lists it as uncharacterized. Lineage: Eukaryota; Metazoa; Arthropoda; Insecta; Diptera; Drosophilidae. The record is from RefSeq and is a predicted model, not a curated record.